CCUACGGGGGGCUGCAGUGAGGAAUAUUGGUCAAUGGGCGUAAGCCUGAACCAGCCAUCCCGCGUGCAGGAAGAAGGCGCUAUGCGUCGUAAACUGCUUUUCCAGGGGAAGAAAACCCGCUACGUGUAGUGGCUUGCCGGUACCCUGGGAAUAAGCAUCGGCUAACUCCGUGCCAGCAGCCGCGGUAAUACGGAGGAUGCGAGCGUUAUCCGGAUUUAUUGGGUUUAAAGGGGACGUAGAAGGAAGUGGAGAAAACCUUCAGCUUAACUGGAGACGUGCCAUUGAUACUGUGAGUCGUGAGUACGGUCAAGGUAGGCGGAAUGUGUAAUGUAGCGGUGAAAUGCUUAGAUAUUACACAGAACACCGAUUGCGAAGGCAGCUUACUGGGCCAUUACUGACGCUGAUGCACGAAAGCGUGGGGAGCGAACAGGAUUAGAUACCCCUGUAGUC
RNAcentral lists this ribosomal RNA (450 nucleotides) under uncultured bacterium. Its description in RNAcentral is "partial 16S ribosomal RNA". It matches the Rfam family "Bacterial small subunit ribosomal RNA", at positions 338 to 795 of the family's 1533-position model. The record is from RNAcentral.